AUUGAACGCUGGCGGCAGGCCUAACACAUGCAAGUCGAGCGGAUGAAGGGAGCUUGCUCCUGGAUUCAGCGGCGGACGGGUGAGUAAUGCCUAGGAAUCUGCCUGGUAGUGGGGGAUAACGUCCGGAAACGGGCGCUAAUACCGCAUACGUCCUGAGGGAGAAAGUGGGGGAUCUUCGGACCUCACGCUAUCAGAUGAGCCUAGGUCGGGUUAGCUAGUUGGUGGGGUAAAGGCCUACCAAGGCGACGAUCCGUAACUGGUCUGAGAGGAUGAUCAGUCACACUGGAACUGAGACACGGUCCAGACUCCUACGGGAGGCAGCAGUGGGGAAUAUUGGACAAUGGGCGAAAGCCUGAUCCAGCCAUGCCGCGUGUGUGAAGAAGGUCUUCGGAUUGUAAAGCACUUUAAGUUGGGAGGAAGGGCAGUAAGUUAAUACCUUGCUGUUUUGACGCUACCAACAGAAUAAGCACCGGCUAACUUCGUG
Molecule: ribosomal RNA, 484 nt
Filed under: uncultured bacterium
Lineage: Bacteria
Description: partial 16S ribosomal RNA
Rfam family: Bacterial small subunit ribosomal RNA
Source: RNAcentral